RNAcentral lists this ribosomal RNA (497 nucleotides) under uncultured bacterium. RNAcentral describes it as "partial 16S ribosomal RNA". It matches the Rfam family "Bacterial small subunit ribosomal RNA", at positions 28 to 507 of the family's 1533-position model. The record is from RNAcentral.
GAUGAACGCUGGCGGCGUGCCUAAUACAUGCAAGUCGAGCGAACAGAUGAGGAGCUUGCUCCUCUGACGUUAGCGGCGGACGGGUGAGUAACACGUGGAUAACCUACCUAUAAGACUGGGAUAACUUCGGGAAACCGGAGCUAAUACCGGAUAAUAUAUUGAACCGCAUGGUUCAAUAGUGAAAGACGGUUUUGCUGUCACUUAUAGAUGGAUCCGCGCCGCAUUAGCUAGUUGGUAAGGUAACGGCUUACCAAGGCAACGAUGCGUAGCCGACCUGAGAGGGUGAUAGGCCACACUGGAACUGAGACACGGUCCAGACUCCUACGGGAGGCAGCAGUAGGGAAUCUUCCGCAAUGGGCGAAAGCCUGACGGAGCAACGCCGCGUGAGUGAUGAAGGUCUUCGGAUCGUAAAACUCUGUUAUUAGGGAAGAACAAAUGUGUAAGUAACUAUGCACGUCUUGACGGUAUCUAAUCAGAAAGCCACGGCUAACUACGUG